GAUGAAGAACGCAGCGAAAUGCGAUUCGUAAUGUGAAUUGCAGAAUUCAGUGAAUCAUCGAAUCUUUGAACGCAUAUUGCGCUCUUUGGUAUUCCGAAGAGCAUGCUUGUUUGAGUAUCAGUAAACACCUCAAAGCUUUUGGAUUUUUUAAUCGAAAAGCUUUGGACUUGAGCAAUCCCAACACCAAUCUUUUUGAGAUCGGUGGCGGGUUGCUUGAAAUGCAGGUGCAGCUGGACAUUCUCCUGAGCUAAAAGCAUAUUCAUUUAGUCCCGUCAAACGGAUUAUUACUUUUGCUGCAGCUAACAUAAAGGGAGUUUGACCGUAUUGGCUGACUGAUGCAGGAUUUCACAAGGGUCGGCAACGAUUCUUGUUAAACUCGAUCCCAAAUCAAGUAAGACUACCCGCUGAACUUAAGCAUAUCAAUAAGCGGAGGA
Molecule: unclassified non-coding RNA, 434 nt
Filed under: soil metagenome
Description: partial contains 5.8S ribosomal RNA, internal transcribed spacer 2, and large subunit ribosomal RNA
Rfam family: 5.8S ribosomal RNA (bases 1-120)
Source: RNAcentral